Molecule: ribosomal RNA, 907 nt
Filed under: Bipolaris chloridis
Lineage: Eukaryota; Fungi; Ascomycota; Dothideomycetes; Pleosporales; Pleosporaceae
Description: LSU rRNA
Rfam family: Eukaryotic large subunit ribosomal RNA
Source: RNAcentral
GCAUAUCAAUAAGCGGAGGAAAAGAAACCAACAGGGAUUGCCCUAGUAACGGCGAGUGAAGCGGCAACAGCUCAAAUUUGAAAUCUGGCUCUUUUAGAGUCCGAGUUGUAAUUUGCAGAGGGCGCUUUGGCUUUGGCAGCGGUCCAAGUUCCUUGGAACAGGACGUCACAGAGGGUGAGAAUCCCGUACGUGGUCGCUAGCUAUUGCCGUGUAAAGCCCCUUCGACGAGUCGAGUUGUUUGGGAAUGCAGCUCUAAAUGGGAGGUAAAUUUCUUCUAAAGCUAAAUAUUGGCCAGAGACCGAUAGCGCACAAGUAGAGUGAUCGAAAGAUGAAAAGCACUUUGGAAAGAGAGUCAAACAGCACGUGAAAUUGUUGAAAGGGAAGCGCUUGCAGCCAGACUUGCUUGCAGUUGCUCAUCCGGGCUUUUGCCCGGUGCACUCUUCUGUAGGCAGGCCAGCAUCAGUUUGGGCGGUGGGAUAAAGGUCUCUGUCACGUACCUCUCUUCGGGGAGGCCUUAUAGGGGAGACGACAUACCACCAGCCUAGACUGAGGUCCGCGCAUCUGCUAGGAUGCUGGCGUAAUGGCUGUAAGCGGCCCGUCUUGAAACACGGACCAAGGAGUCUAACAUCUAUGCGAGUGUUUGGGUGUCAAGCCCGAGCGCGUAAUGAAAGUGAACGGAGGUGGGAACCCGCAAGGGUGCACCAUCGACCGAUCCUGAAGUUUACGGAAGGAUUUGAGUAAGAGCAUGGCUGUUGGGACCCGAAAGAUGGUGAACUAUGCUUGAAUAGGGUGAAGCCAGAGGAAACUCUGGUGGAGGCUCGCAGCGGUUCUGACGUGCAAAUCGAUCGUCAAAUUUGGGCAUAGGGGCGAAAGACUAAUCGAACUAUCUAGUAGCUGGUUCCUGCGA